This is a non-coding RNA of Salvia hispanica, 755 nucleotides long. The record is from RefSeq and is a predicted model, not a curated record. Lineage: Eukaryota; Viridiplantae; Streptophyta; Magnoliopsida; Lamiales; Lamiaceae.
UCUUGCAUGAGAAUGAGGAAGGGAGAAGAGAAUAAGUUUUGCUAUACAUAUAUUUAGAAGGAAAGGAAAGAAAGCUUUUAAUACAAAAUAUGAACAGUAAAAGAACAGGAGAAGGAGAAGAAUAUUUAAGCUUUAGAAGUAACAACUAUAAAUGAGAGUGAUAGACGAAGAGAAGAGAUCGAGCUUUUGAGUAGUUUACCCAUCGUGAUCAGGUGUGUGUAGAUUUUGCCGGAAACCGAAGAUCACAUCAUUCUAGAGGGCGAAAGCAAAAGAUGGGAAAAGAAGAGAAAAUGAGCGGCUUUUGAACUGAUCAAGUCAUAUUUCAACCGAAGCCAGCCAACCUUGCGCUGGAGAGAAGACUAUGAACUCCACUCUAAAGUGUGAAGGGCAAAGGCGUCAUUUUAGGAGGGGUGGUACCCUAGGGAUCAGAGCCAUACGCCUCCCUAUAUAAAGGAGCCUUGCACACUAAGAGAAGGGAGUUCCCCCACAUUUCAUUUCUUGCUGAGUAGUUUAGAGGGGAGUUCUCUUUAGAGUAGGUAGGAUUUCUAGCUCUCUUCCAGGGCUGAAAUCAGAGUUCUCUUCAAUUCAGAGCUUUUCAAUCUCUCGCACACACUUGGUUCCGUCUAGAGUAACUGGUAGUUAGCUGUUUCCUUGCUGUUCUCGCACAUUUCCAGUUUCUAUUUUGGUAUUCCACUCCGAGAAGGGGUGAUGAACAAUUUCCUGCUUUCUUAGUUUAGUUCUGUUUUAUUUUCAUG